Oncorhynchus tshawytscha (Chinook salmon) is the source of this 352-nucleotide long non-coding RNA. NCBI's taxonomy places the organism in Eukaryota, Metazoa, Chordata, Actinopteri, Salmoniformes, Salmonidae. The record is from Ensembl.
AGGGUUCUAUAAAGGUAGUGCACUACGUAGGGAAUAGGGUUCUAUAAAGGUAGUGCACUAUGUAGGGAAUAGGGUGCCAUUUGGAUCGCCGACUGUCUGAUCUGAUGCAAGGCUUGCCCGAUGCUUCCUGGCAACAGCAAUGCGGUAGAGAUUUUAAUGUGUGACUGCUCCUAUGCAUCUGGUGAAACCAUCCAGACCAUGUCUGAUAAAUCUUCUGUUUUCCCAGACAGAGAUGGUGAUCAGCCACACGGCCGUUACUGUGGUACAGCUGGUAAUAGCAGGCUGUGGUUUGACCAGAUUUCUUGACUAUGGCUCUGUUCCAAAAAGCACCUUAUUGUUUAUUAACUUACUG